RNAcentral lists this transfer RNA (73 nucleotides) under Felis catus (domestic cat). It matches the Rfam family "tRNA". Rfam says of the family: Transfer RNA (tRNA) molecules are approximately 80 nucleotides in length. Their secondary structure includes four short double-helical elements and three loops (D, anti-codon, and T loops). Lineage: Eukaryota; Metazoa; Chordata; Mammalia; Carnivora; Felidae. The record is from Rfam by way of RNAcentral.
ACCUGGCUGGCUCAGUUGGUGGAGUAUGUGACUCUUAAUCUUGGGGUCAUGGGCUCGAGCCCCAUGUUGGGUG